UUCAGUGCAGAAGAUUUGAUAAGAAUUAAACAUGACUCUACCAGGAACCCAUUAUCCUCCAGUGCCACCAUAUUCCAGAACUGCAAGCUACCUGGAGUGACCAAAAGUACAAGGUUUUCAGAGACAUAGGCAAGGUAAGGAAGGCUGAAACAGGACCCACCACUGAUCAAGACUCAAGUUGACAGGAUGGGCCCCUAAGAAAUAUGUGAAGAUAGAUUUUGAAAGAUUUUAUAGCCAGAAUAAAUGAGUGACUCUUGAUUGACCAGAUUGCU
Thalassophryne amazonica is the source of this 272-nucleotide long non-coding RNA. RefSeq lists it as uncharacterized. The transcript is spliced from 3 exons. NCBI's taxonomy places the organism in Eukaryota, Metazoa, Chordata, Actinopteri, Batrachoidiformes, Batrachoididae. The record is from RefSeq and is a predicted model, not a curated record.